This 593-nucleotide unclassified non-coding RNA is filed under the name Hevea brasiliensis (rubber tree). The record is from RNAcentral. Lineage: Eukaryota; Viridiplantae; Streptophyta; Magnoliopsida; Malpighiales; Euphorbiaceae.
CUUUGGUCUACCUUUAUUAUCCUUUAACUAUGAAAUGCAGAAGAAUUAAACGUCCUUGCAAUAUCUGUCAGCCUGACCAUGUCCCAGAAUUUUUCCAAGGACAAAAAUAAGGGCAUAGUGCAAACCCAAAUCCAAAAUUUGCUCUUCCCCCACUCACACCAAAAAAGGAAAAGGGGCUCCUACAAACAAUAUGCUGCUAGAAUCAAACGUAAUUUAUCCAUGCCACUGUUACGGUUACACGACUUGGUAGUUCUCGGAAGCCAGCAGCGUUCUUUGAGAGAACUUGGGUGGAGACCCACCUUUCAAUGGCAGAAUAUUGGCAACCUUCAGGUCACUGAACGUUCUUGAGGCGGUAAAACGGGCAGAAAUCGGGAAGAACACAUCAGGAUCUGCUGCCGGAACCACAAAUUCCAGUGAUCCACUGCGAUUAGAAUUGUCGAUGAGAACUACAGACCACUCCAGAACAGAAUUUCUGGAAUCAUACCUCCACUCUCCAUCAAUUUGCUGUAUACGUGGGGCAUCCCUGAGAGCUGGGAGAGGUACAAAAAUCACAAACUGAUCUACAGAAUGUUGUGAUUUUUGUACCUCUCCCA